RNA transcript from Choloepus didactylus (southern two-toed sloth), 1901 nucleotides. It is a transcript of the gene named COMM domain containing 10, with no coding region annotated. Lineage: Eukaryota; Metazoa; Chordata; Mammalia; Pilosa; Megalonychidae. The record is from RefSeq and is a predicted model, not a curated record. The transcript is spliced from 9 exons.
UGCGCGGUUUGGGCCUUCCGGGUUUCCGUUUGCGGAGCCCGCCAUUGGCUGGGCUCGGUGCAGCUGAAACUGUUGUCCGGCGAAGAAGCUGCGAGGAUGGCGGCGUCCGCAGCACUGAUCCUGCGGGAGAGCCCCAGCAUGAAAAAAGCAGUAUCACUGAUCAAUGCAAUAGAUACAGGAAGAUUUCCACGAUUGCUCACCCGAAUUCUUCAAAAACUUCACCUGAAGGCUGAGAGCAGUUUCAGUGAAGAAGAGGAAGAAAAACUUCAAGCUGCAUUUUCUUUAGACAAGCAAGAUCUUCACUUAGUUCUUGAGAUAAUUUCCUUCAUUUUAGAACAGGCAGUAUAUCACAACGUGAAGCCAGCAGCUUUGCAGCAGCAGUUAGAGAACAUUCAUCUUAGACAAGAGAAAGCAGAAGCAUUUGUCAGUGCUUGGUCUACCAUGGGUCAAGAAACAGUUGAAAAGUUUAGGCAGAGGAUUCUGGCUCCCCACAAGCUAGAGACAGUCGGAUGGCAGCUUAACCUUCAAAUGGCUCACUCUGCUCAAGCAAAUCUAAAAUCUCCUCAAGCUGUGUUACAACUAGGAGUGAGCAAUGAAGAUUCAAAGUGUUUUCAGAUCAGGUACAGAAGGUCUGAGUUUGGUAUUAAUGCAUGAGACCAGCUUAGACAAUGAGUUCUUUGUGUAUUCUUGAUAUAAGUCUCUAUGAGCCUGGAGAAAGUUCUUAUGGAAUUCAGUCACAAGGAGUUGUUUGAUUUCUACAACAAGCUAGAGACCAUACAAGCACAGCUGGAUUCCCUUACAUGAUGUUUUCGAAGACUGGUUUCUCCAUCACACUCCUGCCACUUCAUUAUUUUGCAUUGAAGACAGAUUGCCAAGCUGUGUUUUCUGAAGGAUUCAGUGGCUUUCUUCCUGUAAAUUAUAUGGCUUAUCGCUUCUUAGACAAAUAACAGCCAAGGGAGAUCAUUGUUUAGAGCACUGAGGUUCUGAUUACUUUCCCUAGUUCUGUGAGCCAACAAUUGUUAAGAACACUUUGACUCGAAAGAAACAGAAAUGACUGUCAUACUGUUUUUACUGUCCUAUUGUUGCUUUAUUGCCUGACAUGUUUGUGUUUUAUUUGCUUGAUGAUACCUUAUAUAUCCAGGAAGGUCCAUGGAUACAGGGCAUAAUGUGUAGCUUAGUAGAAUGCAGAAAUCAGUAAUUACAUUAGUAAAAGUAAGAAGGCAGCCACGUGCAAUCAAAUACAUUGCAGUAUUUUCCCUUGAAUAUAAUGAAUACAUUUUGCUUGGGAAAUAAUAUAGGAAAGAAAUUUAUAAUAGAGCUAGUAGUAGUAUGUUAGUUAAUUUGAGUAUGCGCUUCUCUGUCCAUUUUAAUUUUUUUCCUGCAUUUAAUGACUUAAUAACAGUCUAGGUUUGUGUGUGCUUAUCUUUAUCCUACACAUUAAUAAUGAUUCACUUCAUAGUGUGAGAUACAUUCAGAUCAUGAAUAAAAACAGUAGUAAUGAGUGCUAAAUGAAUAUCCCUGAAAUUUCAAAAACAGUUACUCUUUACAUUCUCUUUCCGUAAAUAUGUUAAUUGAUUCCAGACAAUACAACUUUUAUGUCUUAGGAUUAGUUGAACUAAAGUUCUCAAUUAUCUAAUGCUAUUAAAUAAGUAAUUGAUGUGAGUAUGAUUACCUGUAAGAAAAUAAUAUAAAUUGAAUUCUUUAUGAAUGAAAUACUUGUCCUCCUAUUUCCAGAGAGAAAGACUGAUUCAGACAUGACUCAUGAAUGGACUCUGAUUUUAGAAGCAUCCUACAGUUAAACAGAACCAUUGAAAUUGUAUCACAUUCCUUAUAUGAGAUAUCUGGCUAAUACAAGUGUUAAAUGUCUCCCAAAUAAAUGUUCAGUAUGUGGAAUCUGCCCA